This 403-nucleotide ribosomal RNA is filed under the name uncultured bacterium. RNAcentral's name for it is "partial 16S ribosomal RNA". It matches the Rfam family "Bacterial small subunit ribosomal RNA", at positions 28 to 526 of the family's 1533-position model. The record is from RNAcentral.
GACGAACGCUGGCGGCGUGCCUAAUACAUGCAAGUCGAACGCAGUGGGGACGGGUGAGUAACACCUGGGUAACCUCCCAUCAGAGGGGAUAACCCUUGGAAACAGGUGCUAAACCGAUAUUGAUUGAUGGACCCGCGGUGCAUUAGCUAGUUGGUGGGGUAACGGCUCACCAAGGCGACGAUGCCUAGCCGGCCUGAGAGGGUGAUCGGCCACACUGGGACUGAGACACGGCCCAGACUCCUACGGGAGGCAGCAGUGGGGAAUAUUGGGCAAUGGGCGAAAGUCUGACCGAGCAACGCCGCGUGAGUGAAGAAGGUUUUCGGAUCGUAAAGCACUGUUGUUAGAGAAGCGGUAUCUAACCAGAAAGCCACGGCUAACUACGUGCCAGCCGCCGCGGUAAUUC